GACGAACGCUGGCGGCGUGCUUAACACAUGCAAGUCGAACGGAAAGGCCCUGCUUUUGUGGGGUGCUCGAGUGGCGAACGGGUGAGUAACACGUGAGUAACCUGCCCUUGACUUUGGGAUAACUUCAGGAAACUGGGGCUAAUACCGGAUAGGAGCUCCUGCUGCAUGGUGGGGGUUGGAAAGUUUCGGCGGUUGGGGAUGGACUCGCGGCUUAUCAGCUUGUUUGUUGGGUAGUGGCUUACCAAGGCUUUGACGGGUAGCCGGCCUGAGAGGGUGACCGGCCACAUUGGGACUGAGAUACGGCCCAGACUCCUACGGGAGGCAGCAGUGGGGAAUAUUGCACAAUGGGCGGAAGCCUGAUGCAGCAACGCCGCGUGCGGGAUGACGGCCUUCGGGUUGUAAACCGCUUUCGCCUGUGACGAAGCGUGAGUGACGGUAAUGGGUAAAGAAGCACCGGCUAACUACGUG
This 468-nucleotide ribosomal RNA is filed under the name uncultured bacterium. RNAcentral describes it as "partial 16S ribosomal RNA". It matches the Rfam family "Bacterial small subunit ribosomal RNA", at positions 28 to 507 of the family's 1533-position model. The record is from RNAcentral.